RNAcentral lists this long non-coding RNA (1915 nucleotides) under Malus domestica (apple). RNAcentral's name for it is "long non-coding RNA (MDOM_LNC004427)". The record is from RNAcentral. Lineage: Eukaryota; Viridiplantae; Streptophyta; Magnoliopsida; Rosales; Rosaceae.
CUUAGUGUCACUACACGAAUGGGAUGAGACUUUCCAUCCUUCCAAUUGAAGGGGACAUAGUAUGUACUGGUCUUUGCAUUGUCAGUGUCCCUCUGACAAUCAUAUGACCAGGAACGGUUUUGGACAUGAUGGUUAUGUGAAGAAGGUCUUUGUAGUCUAACAUCAUUAGAUUACUUCUUCCAUCGAUCCAUUGUCCAUGGAUUCAUUAUUUAGGACAUAUAUCGUUUAUUGAGAUAGUCCUAAUUAGUAUCUAUGCCUUUUGAUGUAUAAGAGUCAUCUAUACACACAUUCAUUGUCCUGAAAGGUUUCUUCCAAAGAUUGACUUUCAGGGCAUAUUUCCAACAAUCUCCCACUUGCACUAAAGUCUAUCACUAGUGUAUCUUAUACAUACUAGUUGAGAGAGCUUAUGCUCGUAGGUUAACUUGGUUAUGUAUUAAUCCUUUUUAUUUAAAAGGAUUCACUUAUCAAAUGUUUCCAAAACAUUUGAUGAUGUCUCUUUCUUGUGUUCGAAUACUUUGAUGAGACCUUGAUUCCAUGGCUUGAGCUAUCGCCCCAUUACGUCGUAGUGUCCUACUAACGACCUUAUGGUUUGGAUUCAAUCAUUGGUUCUAAAAGAACCCCUUCCAUUCUAAACACCCUUUGAAGCAGUUUCUAAAACAAUAUAUCGUCAUAUAUUUCGUUUGUAUACUUUAUACAAACUUUGCUCCAACCUUGAGACCAUUGUAGUACAAUACUUACAAUACAUUCAUAUGAUUAGUACUUCAUCCAUUAUGAAGUUCCAUUUGUUAAAAUGGCUUAUUUUCACUUUGGUUUAUAACCUAAGUGAACGCACACUUCCAGAGUCCCACUCUGAUGUUCCUUUCUUAAAGGCAAUAAUACUCUAUCAGUUGCUUUGGUUCUGAUAUUGGGAUACAGUAAUAUCUUAAAGUGACAACCCCUGUGGUUCUUCACUUUUGGAUAUCUACUCACAAGUCCAUACAUGUGUCCCUUUUGUGAUUUUGUGACACAUUCAUUAUAAGGGUUACGAAAGUGAUUUUCUAUCAUAUAGGAAAAUUCUUUCUUAAAUCUUCAACAUUUGAGAUUUAAUUUCCCCAUUUAACAUCCUUGAGAUAGCCUUGCUAUAUCAAUAAGUCCAAUUUCAAGUCUAUACUUCAAAAUUGACCGUGUCAUGUUUUGUCAAUUUUCGAGUAACAUCUAUGUUCUAUCAAGUCUAUCAAAUUGACUUUAUUCAUAUCUUGUUGCUCAAAUUAUGACAUCACUCCCACUGGCCUUGUUGUAACUUAGCAUUCAUUCAAAAACUUAACAAUUAUAUUUUCUUGAUUUGAAUGCAUAUUGCUCCCACUAACUUGUCUUGGAUCUAUUGACAAUCAUUAAGAUCCAUUAGCUUAUUGAUGAUGUCUCAACUAUUUUGAGACUAUCAACAACUCUAGCUAACACAAGUUAUUAAACGAAUCAUACACAAAAGAAUUCCUUCUCAAGUAAUUCCUUUUGAAAUGUGUGACUUGCUUUGUCAAGUCUAUUCAUUUAAAUUAUAUGGUGUCAUACACCAUACUACAAGUUUUAGUCAUACUAAGACCUUAAUGUAGUCAUAUAAGAAUUAUCCAAGUCUUUAGUGGAAGCAUGGCUCCUACUAAGGAUAUAGAAACUCAACCAUUCCUUCUAGGUGGUUGAUAUAAUUCUUUAUCAAAACUACAUAGAGCGUUAUAGUUACAUAAGAUGUCGAAUUUGGAUUGUCUUGUUGUUAAACUAUAUGUUGUGACUCAUUUUGAAACUAUUCCCUUUUGUUUCAUCAAAUUUGUCCAUGGGCUUUGUUAUUAGCUUGUUCUCAUAAAAGAGAAUGAUGGACAACUCCCAACAUAUAACCAUUUUAUGUUAGGUUGACGAAACCAACAUUCAAAGACUAUUCUUCAGAAUG